RNAcentral lists this ribosomal RNA (808 nucleotides) under uncultured soil bacterium. RNAcentral's name for it is "bacterial SSU rRNA". It matches the Rfam family "Bacterial small subunit ribosomal RNA", at positions 8 to 796 of the family's 1533-position model. The record is from RNAcentral.
AGAGUUUGAUCAUGGCUCAGAAUCAACGCUGGCGGCGUGCCUAACACAUGCAAGUCGAACGCGAAAGGGGCUUCGGCCCUGAGUAGAGUGGCGAACGGGUGAGUAACACGUGGGUGACCUACCUUCGAGUGGGGGAUAACGUCCCGAAAGGGACGCUAAUACCGCAUAACAUCCUGCCUUUGAACAGGUGGAGAUCAAAGCCGGGGAUCGCAAGACCCGGCACUUGAAGAGGGGCCCGCGGCCCAUCAGCUAGUUGGUAGGGUAAUGGCCUACCAAGGCGACGACGGGUAGCUGGUCUGAGAGGACGACCAGCCACACGGGAAUUGAGAUACGGUCCCGACUCCUACGGGAGGCAGCAGUGGGGAAUCUUGGGCAAUGGGGGAAACCCUGACCCAGCGACGCCGCGUGGGGGAUGAAGGCUCUCGGGUCGUAAACCCCUGUUAGGUGGGACGAACAUCUUCUGGUAAAUAACUGGAGGAUCUGACGGUACCACCAGAGAAAGCCCCGGCUAACUCCGUGCCAGCAGCCGCGGUAAUACGGAGGGGGCAAGUGUUGUUCGGAAUUACUGGGCGUAAAGGGCGCGUAGGCGGCUUGGCAAGUCGAGUGUGAAAUCCCUUGGCUUAACUGAGGAAUGGCGCUCGAAACUACCUCGCUAGAGGGCGGGAGAGGGAAGUGGAACUCUCGGUGUAGGGGUGAAAUCUGUAGAUAUCGAGAGGAACACCGGUGGCGAAGGCGGCUUCCUGGCCCGUACCUGACGCUGAGGCGCGAAAGCGUGGGGAGCAAACAGGAUUAGAUACCCCCGUAGUCC